Molecule: long non-coding RNA, 1010 nt
Organism: Gadus macrocephalus (Pacific cod)
Lineage: Eukaryota; Metazoa; Chordata; Actinopteri; Gadiformes; Gadidae
Exons: 2
Source: RefSeq, a predicted model, not a curated record
CCCCCCCCCCCCCACUCCAAACCCUACCGUGUGUCCAUCUGUCCUGUCUCUAUACCCCUGCCCCUUGCCUUUCUUUUUUUGCACACACAUCUUGAUUACUGAACAUUUGAUGUUCCCCCCCCUGUCUGACCCCAGACCUUCCCCGCAUGCUAAGCUAGUCUCUGUGUUCCCUGUAGCUCAGGCGCUAACGUGAAUGUAAUGUAGACCACUGCAGUCUGCCACUGCCAUCCAUCCCCGGCGACUUUAUCUUAUUCCACGCUGUCUGUCUGCAUGAGGAGCUCUGUGUGUAACCCACCCACCUGAUGCUGCCAUGCUGCCGCAGUGAAGCCCUGCAGUUCCUUGUUUUCAACUUCUGGAAACUUCUGGAAUAUGUCACUGACUGACCAGUAUCAUCACAACAGAGAAGCCUUCUUUUGAAAAGCCAAAAACGAAUGAAAACAAGCUACAUCAUCUUCCUGCUCUCUUUUCAAGUGGAGAGGACGCCCCCGGCUUCCUAAAAGGCAGACAAUGAGGACUAUAUUUGCAACACAACAAUAAAACUUAAAGUUUCCAAAACAACACACAAUGAAGGGAUGAGAGGACAGUGAAAUCAUGAAUGCUCUCAAAGAUGAACCCCCUAAAAGCGGCCCGAAGGAGACAAUGUCACAAAAUGGCUGCCUGUUUCAAUUCCUCGAAUGCUUCUCUAUGACUUUGGUGCCGAUAGCGUCAAGAUAAACUAACUGAACUGCCAGACGAACAUUCAAAUGUCCAAUUGAAGAUGGCCAUUUGAACGUGGACAUGACUACAGACAACAAAUGUUUACAUCUCAGAUGCUAAUAAGCUAAUCGCUUUAGCUCUCAAGCCACAGGCUGCGAGGUGGGAGAGAGCACAAGGAUCCUAUCCAAAUGUUGUUUUGGUGCCGCAGAUAGUUUGACAAUUCCUGUGUACUUUUCUGUCAUUCUGGAUUUACACUGUUUUAAUGUUCAGACAUGUUCCCACAAUUUUAAUAAAGUAGAAAGUUUCAUGUUAAA